GAUGAACGCUGGCGGCGUGCCUAAUACAUGCAAGUCGAGCGAACAGACGAGGAGCUUGCUCCUCUGACGUUAGCGGCGGACGGGUGAGUAACACGUGGAUAACCUACCUAUAAGACUGGGAUAACUUCGGGAAACCGGAGCUAAUACCGGAUAAUAUAUUGAACCGCAUGGUUCAAUAGUGAAAGACGGUUUUGCUGUCACUUAUAGAUGGAUCCGCGUCGCAUUAGCUAGUUGGUAAGGUAACGGCUUACCAAGGCGACGAUGCGUAGCCGACCUGAGAGGGUGAUCGGCCACACUGGAACGGAGACACGGUCCAGGCUCCUACGGGAGGCAGCAGUAGGGAAUCUUCCGCAAUGGGCGAAAGCCUGACGGAGCAACGCCGCGUGAGUGAUGAAGGUCUUCGGAUCGUAAAACUCUGUUAUUAGGGAAGAACAAAUGUGUAAGUAACUAUGCACGUCUUGACGGUACCUAAUCAGAAAGCCACGGCUAACUACGUG
Molecule: ribosomal RNA, 497 nt
Filed under: uncultured bacterium
Lineage: Bacteria
Description: partial 16S ribosomal RNA
Rfam family: Bacterial small subunit ribosomal RNA
Source: RNAcentral